This 1372-nucleotide ribosomal RNA is filed under the name uncultured bacterium. Its description in RNAcentral is "bacterial SSU rRNA". It matches the Rfam family "Bacterial small subunit ribosomal RNA", at positions 28 to 1381 of the family's 1533-position model. The record is from RNAcentral.
GAUGAACGCUGGCGGCGUGCCUAAUACAUGCAAGUCGAGCGAACGGACGAGAAGCUUGCUUCUCUGAUGUUAGCGGCGGACGGGUGAGUAACACGUGGAUAACCUACCUAUAAGACUGGGAUAACUUCGGGAAACCGGAGCUAAUACCGGAUAAUAUUUUGAACCGCAUGGUUCAAAAGUGAAAGACGGUCUUGCUGUCACUUAUAGAUGGAUCCGCGCUGCAUUAGCUAGUUGGUAAGGUAACGGCUUACCAAGGCAACGAUGCAUAGCCGACCUGAGAGGGUGAUCGGCCACACUGGAACUGAGACACGGUCCAGACUCCUACGGGAGGCAGCAGUAGGGAAUCUUCCGCAAUGGGCGAAAGCCUGACGGAGCAACGCCGCGUGAGUGAUGAAGGUCUUCGGAUCGUAAAACUCUGUUAUUAGGGAAGAACAUAUGUGUAAGUAACUGUGCACAUCUUGACGGUACCUAAUCAGAAAGCCACGGCUAACUACGUGCCAGCAGCCGCGGUAAUACGUAGGUGGCAAGCGUUAUCCGGAAUUAUUGGGCGUAAAGCGCGCGUAGGCGGUUUUUUAAGUCUGAUGUGAAAGCCCACGGCUCAGCCGUGGAGGGUCAUUGGAAACUGGAAAACUUGAGUGCAGAAGAGGAAAGUGGAAUUCCAUGUGUAGCGGUGAAAUGCGCAGAGAUAUGGAGGAACACCAGUGGCGAAGGCGACUUUCUGGUCUGUAACUGACGCUGAUGUGCGAAAGCGUGGGGAUCAAACAGGAUUAGAUACCCUGGUAGUCCACGCCGUAAACGAUGAGUGCUAAGUGUUAGGGGGUUUCCGCCCCUUAGUGCUGCAGCUAACGCAUUAAGCACUCCGCCUGGGGAGUACGACCGCAAGGUUGAAACUCAAAGGAAUUGACGGGGACCCGCACAAGCGGUGGAGCAUGUGGUUUAAUUCGAAGCAACGCGAAGAACCUUACCAAAUCUUGACAUCCUUUGACAACUCUAGAGAUAGAGCUUUCCCCUUCGGGGGACAAAGUGACAGGUGGUGCAUGGUUGUCGUCAGCUCGUGUCGUGAGAUGUUGGGUUAAGUCCCGCAACGAGCGCAACCCUUAAGCUUAGUUGCCAUCAUUAAGUUGGGCACUCUAAGUUGACUGCCGGUGACAAACCGGAGGAAGGUGGGGAUGACGUCAAAUCAUCAUGCCCCUUAUGAUUUGGGCUACACACGUGCUACAAUGGACAAUACAAAGGGCAGCGAAACCGUGAGGUCAAGCAAAUCCCAUAAAGUUGUUCUCAGUUCGGAUUGUAGUCUGCAACUCGACUACAUGAAGCUGGAAUCGCUAGUAAUCGUAGAUCAGCAUGCUACGGUGAAUACGUUCCCGGGUCU